CGCCUGUUUACCAAAAACAUCGCCUCUUGCAAAGCUAAAGAAUAAGAGGUCCCGCCUGCCCUGUGACUAUUAGUUUAACGGCCGCGGUAUUUUGACCGUGCAAAGGUAGCGCAAUCACUUGUCUUUUAAAUGAAGACCUGUAUGAAUGGCACAACGAGGGCUUAACUGUCUCCUCUUUCAAGUCAAUGAAAUUGAUCUCCCCGUGCAGAAGCGGGGAUAUAAACAUAAGACGAGAAGACCCUAUGGAGCUUUAGACACCAAAGAAGAUCCUGUCAAGUAACCCCCCACAAGGGUCUGAACUAAUGGAAUCCUUCCCUAAUGUCUUUGGUUGGGGCGACCGCGGGGAAACAAAAAACCCCCACGUGGAAAGGGAGCACCCCCUCCUACAACUAAGAGCCGCAGCUCUAAUUAACAGAAUAUCUGACCAAUAAGAUCCGGCAAUGCCGAUCAACGGACCGAGUUACCCUAGGGAUAACAGCGCAAUCCCCUUUUAGAGCCCAUAUCGACAAGGGGGUUUACGACCUCGAUGUUGGAUCAGGACAUCCUAAUGGUGCAGCCGCUAUUAAGGGUCCGUUUGUUCAACGGUUAAAGUCCUACGUGAUCUGAGUUCAGACCGG
Molecule: ribosomal RNA, 617 nt
Filed under: Sebastes rubrivinctus (flag rockfish)
Lineage: Eukaryota; Metazoa; Chordata; Actinopteri; Perciformes; Sebastidae
Description: partial large subunit ribosomal RNA
Rfam family: Bacterial large subunit ribosomal RNA
Source: RNAcentral